Symphalangus syndactylus (siamang) is the source of this 511-nucleotide long non-coding RNA. RefSeq lists it as uncharacterized. The record is from RefSeq and is a predicted model, not a curated record. NCBI's taxonomy places the organism in Eukaryota, Metazoa, Chordata, Mammalia, Primates, Hylobatidae.
GAUGUUAGAGGUAAAGAAAAAAGGAGGUUUAUGAACUUUGUGACUAAGACGAACGUAAAUACCAGGUGCCCACUAAUGAAGUUGGCUAUCAGAAGGCCCGGGAACUUAAAAACAAACAAGAACCAGCCUCUUCCUCAAGGACUUGCAAUCUGCUAGGGAUGCCAUCGGCUCUCCAAUUUGGAUAAAAUCUGAGAUCCUGCCCCUAUUGAAACUUCCCAGAUAUGACUUCGGCAGGGCAAGCUUAAUGAGGACGGAAAAGAAUAAGAUCCGGAAUCACUUCACCUUUCUGAACCUUCGUUUGCAAAUCAAGAUUUGGAGUGAUUAGAUAAUGCUGCCCCUGGGGGAGGGGAGAGAAAAGGCAGAAACGUCUAACAAUCUCAUGAGAGAGGAAGAAUGGAUUGGGAGGACAAAGGGGAGAACUUUCAGUCACAGAGCAGGGAUUGCAGAGUGGAAGGAUUGAGAGGUUGAGCACCUCCCUGCGCACUUAUUCAUUACCUGCCAUUCAAUAGUC